GAGCUGUCGCCGCCUGGAGCUGCUGCUGCUCGCCCGGAGUCGCCGCUGGCUGGCCUGCGAUCGACGGCCAGCAGCUCGCUGGAGGAGCGCCGCCGUCAGCCGCUGCCGUUGGCAGCAAGAAUCCGGCAGCCGCCUCUCCUGGAGUCGCCGUCGCCGUGAGUCGCUGUGAGGAGCCGAGCACCGUCUCACAAAGAUCGGAGACAACCGCGGCUCCGUCGCCGUCCGUCAACCGCCGGCGACGACGAGCCACCGAGGCUGCCCUCCCCCUGACCUCGACUCACACACGCAAUCAGCCAACACAAAGGGUUUUUGUGCGAGAAUCAUAUACUGUAAUUGCUCAAAUAAAAGUUUUAACUCUUUCCUUGUAACUUCAGUUCACAAGUACAUAUUUAGUAACUGUAAAUCUAUGAAUUUGCUACUCAUUUUCUUCAUUUAUCAAAGCAUAUGUAAAUCUGAGUUAAUGAGCAUGUGUUGGUAUUCUGGAAUUGAUGUAUACAAUUGAAGGAUAAUAUAUAAAUUAGAAAUAUAAA
Molecule: long non-coding RNA, 530 nt
Organism: Salvia miltiorrhiza (redroot sage)
Lineage: Eukaryota; Viridiplantae; Streptophyta; Magnoliopsida; Lamiales; Lamiaceae
Exons: 2
Source: RefSeq, a predicted model, not a curated record